Molecule: ribosomal RNA, 2919 nt
Filed under: Staphylococcus aureus
Lineage: Bacteria; Bacillati; Bacillota; Bacilli; Caryophanales; Staphylococcaceae
Description: 23S ribosomal RNA
Rfam family: Bacterial large subunit ribosomal RNA
Source: RNAcentral
UUAAGUUAUUAAGGGCGCACGGUGGAUGCCUUGGCACUAGAAGCCGAUGAAGGACGUUACUAACGACGAUAUGCUUUGGGGAGCUGUAAGUAAGCUUUGAUCCAGAGAUUUCCGAAUGGGGAAACCCAGCAUGAGUUAUGUCAUGUUAUCGAUAUGUGAAUACAUAGCAUAUCAGAAGGCACACCCGGAGAACUGAAACAUCUUAGUACCCGGAGGAAGAGAAAGAAAAUUCGAUUCCCUUAGUAGCGGCGAGCGAAACGGGAAGAGCCCAAACCAACAAGCUUGCUUGUUGGGGUUGUAGGACACUCUAUACGGAGUUACAAAGGACGACAUUAGACGAAUCAUCUGGAAAGAUGAAUCAAAGAAGGUAAUAAUCCUGUAGUCGAAAAUGUUGUCUCUCUUGAGUGGAUCCUGAGUACGACGGAGCACGUGAAAUUCCGUCGGAAUCUGGGAGGACCAUCUCCUAAGGCUAAAUACUCUCUAGUGACCGAUAGUGAACCAGUACCGUGAGGGAAAGGUGAAAAGCACCCCGGAAGGGGAGUGAAAUAGAACCUGAAACCGUGUGCUUACAAGUAGUCAGAGCCCGUUAAUGGGUGAUGGCGUGCCUUUUGUAGAAUGAACCGGCGAGUUACGAUUUGAUGCAAGGUUAAGGAGUAAAUGUGGAGCCGUAGCGAAAGCGAGUCUGAAUAGGGCGUUUAGUAUUUGGUCGUAGACCCGAAACCAGGUGAUCUACCCUUGGUCAGGUUGAAGUUCAGGUAACACUGAAUGGAGGACCGAACCGACUUACGUUGAAAAGUGAGCGGAUGAACUGAGGGUAGCGGAGAAAUUCCAAUCGAACCUGGAGAUAGCUGGUUCUCUCCGAAAUAGCUUUAGGGCUAGCCUCAAGUGAUGAUUAUUGGAGGUAGAGCACUGUUUGGACGAGGGGCCCCUCUCGGGUUACCGAAUUCAGACAAACUCCGAAUGCCAAUUAAUUUAACUUGGGAGUCAGAACAUGGGUGAUAAGGUCCGUGUUCGAAAGGGAAACAGCCCAGACCACCAGCUAAGGUCCCAAAAUAUAUGUUAAGUGGAAAAGGAUGUGGCGUUGCCCAGACAACUAGGAUGUUGGCUUAGAAGCAGCCAUCAUUUAAAGAGUGCGUAAUAGCUCACUAGUCGAGUGACACUGCGCCGAAAAUGUACCGGGGCUAAACAUAUUACCGAAGCUGUGGAUUGUCCUUUGGACAAUGGUAGGAGAGCGUUCUAAGGGCGUUGAAGCAUGAUCGUAAGGACAUGUGGAGCGCUUAGAAGUGAGAAUGCCGGUGUGAGUAGCGAAAGACGGGUGAGAAUCCCGUCCACCGAUUGACUAAGGUUUCCAGAGGAAGGCUCGUCCGCUCUGGGUUAGUCGGGUCCUAAGCUGAGGCCGACAGGCGUAGGCGAUGGAUAACAGGUUGAUAUUCCUGUACCACCUAUAAUCGUUUUAAUCGAUGGGGGGACGCAGUAGGAUAGGCGAAGCGUGCGAUUGGAUUGCACGUCUAAGCAGUAAGGCUGAGUAUUAGGCAAAUCCGGUACUCGUUAAGGCUGAGCUGUGAUGGGGAGAAGACAUUGAGUCUUCGAGUCGUUGAUUUCACACUGCCGAGAAAAGCCUCUAGAUAGAAAAUAGGUGCCCGUACCGCAAACCGACACAGGUAGUCAAGAUGAGAAUUCUAAGGUGAGCGAGCGAACUCUCGUUAAGGAACUCGGCAAAAUGACCCCGUAACUUCGGGAGAAGGGGUGCUCUUUAGGGUUAACGCCCAGAAGAGCCGCAGUGAAUAGGCCCAAGCGACUGUUUAUCAAAAACACAGGUCUCUGCUAAACCGUAAGGUGAUGUAUAGGGGCUGACGCCUGCCCGGUGCUGGAAGGUUAAGAGGAGUGGUUAGCUUCUGCGAAGCUACGAAUCGAAGCCCCAGUAAACGGCGGCCGUAACUAUAACGGUCCUAAGGUAGCGAAAUUCCUUGUCGGGUAAGUUCCGACCCGCACGAAAGGCGUAACGAUUUGGGCACUGUCUCAACGAGAGACUCGGUGAAAUCAUAGUACCUGUGAAGAUGCAGGUUACCCGCGACAGGACGGAAAGACCCCGUGGAGCUUUACUGUAGCCUGAUAUUGAAAUUCGGCACAGCUUGUACAGGAUAGGUAGGAGCCUUUGAAACGUGAGCGCUAGCUUACGUGGAGGCGCUGGUGGGAUACUACCCUAGCUGUGUUGGCUUUCUAACCCGCACCACUUAUCGUGGUGGGAGACAGUGUCAAGCGGGCAGUUUGACUGGGGCGGUCGCCUCCUAAAAGGUAACGGAGGCGCUCAAAGGUUCCCUCAGAAUGGUUGGAAAUCAUUCAUAGAGUGUAAAGGCAUAAGGGAGCUUGACUGCGAGACCUACAAGUCGAGCAGGGUCGAAAGACGGACUUAGUGAUCCGGUGGUUCCGCAUGGAAGGGCCAUCGCUCAACGGAUAAAAGCUACCCCGGGGAUAACAGGCUUAUCUCCCCCAAGAGUUCACAUCGACGGGGAGGUUUGGCACCUCGAUGUCGGCUCAUCGCAUCCUGGGGCUGUAGUCGGUCCCAAGGGUUGGGCUGUUCGCCCAUUAAAGCGGUACGCGAGCUGGGUUCAGAACGUCGUGAGACAGUUCGGUCCCUAUCCGUCGUGGGCGUAGGAAAUUUGAGAGGAGCUGUCCUUAGUACGAGAGGACCGGGAUGGACAUACCUCUGGUGUACCAGUUGUCGUGCCAACGGCAUAGCUGGGUAGCUAUGUGUGGACGGGAUAAGUGCUGAAAGCAUCUAAGCAUGAAGCCCCCCUCAAGAUGAGAUUUCCCAACUUCGGUUAUAAGAUCCCUCAAAGAUGAUGAGGUUAAUAGGUUCGAGGUGGAAGCAUGGUGACAUGUGGAGCUGACGAAUACUAAUCGAUCGAAGACUUAAUC